Aedes aegypti (yellow fever mosquito) is the source of this 643-nucleotide long non-coding RNA. RefSeq lists it as uncharacterized. Lineage: Eukaryota; Metazoa; Arthropoda; Insecta; Diptera; Culicidae. The transcript has 2 exons. The record is from RefSeq and is a predicted model, not a curated record.
GUUCAGCUUUUUUUUUAAAGAACAAUACGUUUCGUACAUUUAGUUUUGUCUUUUUCUUGGCAUUAAGUCCCCGAUGGACCAGAACCUGCUUCUAAGCUUAGUUUUUGUCAAAAUCCAUGCAGCUAGUACGAACAUACUCUUAACUUUUAUUUAUUUUCGAUUUUUAUUUUUGUUUAGGUAUUGUAUCCGAAGAUCAUUUUCUUCAAAAAGACGUUUUGAUCAGUGCCUUUAUUCAAUUAGGAAAUCUCAAAGGAUUUACGGUGAAAAUUAAAUGGAUUUGCGGUGGAAAUAUUUCCUGUUAUCCUAAGUGUGCCAGAAAGUAAUUACAGACGAAGAAACCAAGAUGUGUGUGACACCGAGCGGAGCGAUCUUUUGCGAAACCGCAAUCAUUGAAAGCGACACCAUCAGAAGCACUCAAACCAAUAACCGAAGCAGCAUCAGACGCAACGCCAUUCACAGCAGUGGCAGCAGCCAGAUGACUCCGAUAGAUUGCUUUUCGCGAUUCGUUCCACUUCGACGGUUCGGUGGACGAUAUCGGAGCUUUGAUUGCCUGCUUCCCACAUUGGUCAACUGCUGCUGCCUGUUGCUGUUGGUGGUUUUGCUGGUGCCGACGACAGACGCGGCCAUCUCCAGUAGAGGUGAG